Molecule: ribosomal RNA, 245 nt
Filed under: uncultured Planctomycetales bacterium
Lineage: Bacteria; Pseudomonadati; Planctomycetota; Planctomycetia; Planctomycetales
Description: partial 16S ribosomal RNA
Rfam family: Bacterial small subunit ribosomal RNA
Source: RNAcentral
CUCUGGAGAGACUGCCGGUGUUAAACCGGAGGAAGGUGGGGAUGACGUCAAGUCCUCAUGGCCUUUAUGCCUAGGGCUGCACACGUCCUACAAUGCAACGCACAAAGUGACGCUAACUCGCGAGAGUACGCAAACCACAUAAAUCGUUGCUCAGUUCGGAUUGCAGGCUGAAAUUCGCCUGCAUGAAGCCGGAAUCGCUAGUAAUCGUAGGUCAGCAUACUACGGUGAAUGUGUUCCUGAGCCUU